Molecule: long non-coding RNA, 1008 nt
Filed under: Elaeis guineensis (African oil palm)
Lineage: Eukaryota; Viridiplantae; Streptophyta; Magnoliopsida; Arecales; Arecaceae
Description: long non-coding RNA (EGUI_LNC021644)
Source: RNAcentral
GGUAAGAAUCGCGCAGGCGUGGGCUGAUCUAAAGUUUGUUUUAUUCUUUUUAUUUUCUGUUUCGUUAUCUAAGAUCCUCUGUGGUGACUGGAUCCUACAAUGGCCGCCAUCUAUUUAUUUUAUUUGCUGGCCAUCUAUCAUACGAUGGCGGUCAUCGAGGGCUGCAUAGUAUUUUAUGAUCGGACUGCACGCUGCACCGCGGGAGAUCCAUGCUCUCGGUACGCCCCGGGCCCUUGGCCAUUUGAUAAAGAAAUGUGUCACGUGAUGAGUGUCCACAUGCUGCUGAAAAGAAUACAGUGAGGCAGGGUAAAGCGCUUUGGUCCCCACUCCACCCCACCCCAAGGCAUAUACAGAGAGAAAAUGAAAGAUUGCUGACCUUUUGUAAGUUUUAUUUGAUAAUGAUCUGAUGGUGAAGGAGAGGACUUUAUGGCCUACUUCGACACUCAUGACGCCGACGAUGAGAACAUGUAGAGGAGCAGCCACAUAGAGGCUUUGAUUAGUCCUCCCGUGAAACGGAAAGGCCUUGGACGGGAGAGGAAUCCUGGCUCUCAUUGAAACCUCAUCCCGCCGCCGAGAGGCCCCACCUCAUCCCGCCGCCGCUCUCUAGCGCUCGCCCAUAUUCACAUGUCCACAAUAUUUUACAGGAAUUUCUCAGCCAUCUUCUCGUGGUUAGAUGUAAUAAUAAGGCAUCAAUCAUAUGAGAAAUUGAUAGUUAACCCCCAACCAUAUAAACUAAUAACAUUCGCGAAUUUUCUCAUUUUAAAAAAGAGAAAAAAAUGAGCCUAUAGUUGCACCUACCAUUUAAAAGAAGAACGGACAAAGGGCAUGGCAUUUGUUGUCAUACCAAUGGCUGACGAUUAAUUACACAAUAAACAGGGUAAUUCCUCCAAAUUUCUAAAGGGCCUGGAGUUUGGUGCGAUUUAUCUCCUUUCGUUGUACCAUUGUAUCUUAUACUCAAAUAAAAUAGUAAUGAUAGCAGCAGAAGCAGCGCAACAGAUUAAUGAAAUC